Molecule: non-coding RNA, 182 nt
Organism: Enterococcus villorum ATCC 700913
Lineage: Bacteria; Bacillati; Bacillota; Bacilli; Lactobacillales; Enterococcaceae
Source: Rfam
UGAGAUGUGCUAUACUCUUUGAGACAGUAAAGUUUAAUGACGGUGGCGAUUUCCAAGAAGGUGGUGGUGCUUAUGGAUGUAAGUACUAAAAUCUACGAAAGGAGUAGCCUUUUGUCCGCAUACGAGACAAUUCAAAUCAUUCUUGGCUUUGGUAUGUUUACCAUUUCUUUGAUUGGUUUGGU